AGUGAACGCUGGCGGUAGGCCUAACACAUGCAAGUCGAACGGCAGCACAGGAGAGCUUGCUCUCUGGGUGGCGAGUGGCGGACGGGUGAGGAAUACAUCGGAAUCUACUCUGUCGUGGGGGAUAACGUAGGGAAACUUACGCUAAUACCGCAUACGACCUACGGGUGAAAGCAGGGGACCUUCGGGCCUUGCGCGAUUGAAUGAGCCGAUGUCGGAUUAGCUAGUUGGCGGGGUAAAGGCCCACCAAGGCGAGGAUCCGUAGCUGGUCUGAGAGGAUGAGCAGCCACACUGGAACUGAGACACGGUCCAGACUCCUACGGGAGGCAGCAGUGGGGAAUAUUGGACAAUGGGCGCAAGCCUGAUCCAGCCAUACCGCGUGGGUGAAGAAGGCCUUCGGGUUGUAAAGCCCUUUUGUUGGGAAAGAAAUCCAGCUGGCUAAUACCCGGUUGGGAUGACGGUACCCAAAGAAUAAGCACCGACUAACUUCGUGCCAGCAGCCGCCGUAA
This 506-nucleotide ribosomal RNA is filed under the name uncultured bacterium. RNAcentral's name for it is "partial 16S ribosomal RNA". It matches the Rfam family "Bacterial small subunit ribosomal RNA", at positions 29 to 523 of the family's 1533-position model. The record is from RNAcentral.